RNAcentral lists this small RNA (499 nucleotides) under Pongo abelii (Sumatran orangutan). RNAcentral describes it as "retained intron". Lineage: Eukaryota; Metazoa; Chordata; Mammalia; Primates; Hominidae. The record is from RNAcentral.
GCACCACUGCAAUCCCACCAUCUUGCUGGGACUUUGCCUUUUUCUUCCUAUAAAAGGGACAACAGUGCUGUCCUUGACCACUGAAAAACCAGGGAGACCAGGAGGUUCCUUCCCCUGCCCGCUUCCUGGAUUCAGAGUUAAUUUCCCUGAAGUCUUCUGGUGGUAGAGGGGAGGGGGCUCAUUUGAUGUCAGCAGGUACGAAGGGAAGGGUUGGAGUGCUGAGAACUGCCCCCAACUUGCUGCUCUUUUUAUUGCAGUGGAGUUCACCGGGCCUCCACAGAAGCCCCCGAGGCUGGGCGCACAGUCCAUCCAGCCCACAGCUAACCUGGACCGGACCGAUGACUUGGUGUACCUCAAUGUCAUGGAGCUGGUGCGGGCCGUGCUGGAGCUCAAGAAUGAGCUCUGUCAGCUGCCCCCCGAGGGCUACGUGGUGGUGGUGAAGAAUGUGGGGCUGACCCUGCGGAAGCUCAUCGGGAGCGUGGACGAUCUCCUGCCUUCC